AUUGAACGCUGGCGGAAUGCUUUACACAUGCAAGUCGAGCGGCAGCGCGGGGCAACCUGGCGGCGAGCGGCGAACGGGUGAGUAAUGCAUCGGAACAUGUCCAUGUCGUGGGGGAUAGCCCGGCGAAAGCCGGAUUAAUACCGCAUACGCCCGAGAGGGGAAAGUGGGGGACCGCAAGGCCUCACGCGAUUGGGUUGGCCGAUGUCCGAUUAGCUAGUUGGCGGGGUAAAGGCCCACCAAGGCGAUGAUCGGUAGCUGGUCUGAGAGGAUGAUCAGCCACACUGGGACUGGGACACGGCCCAGACUCCUACGGGAGGCAGCAGUGGGGAAUUUUGGACAAUGGGGGCAACCCUGAUCCAGCCAUUCCGCGUGAGUGAAGAAGGCCUUCGGGUUGUAAAGCUCUUUUGUCCGGAACGAAACGGUUACGGUGAAUACCCGUGACUACUGACGGUACCGGAAGAAUAAGCACCGGCUAACUACGUGCCAGCCGCCGCCGUAA
This 499-nucleotide ribosomal RNA is filed under the name uncultured bacterium. RNAcentral describes it as "partial 16S ribosomal RNA". It matches the Rfam family "Bacterial small subunit ribosomal RNA", at positions 29 to 523 of the family's 1533-position model. The record is from RNAcentral.